GGACUGACCACACAGGGCAAGAGAAUAGUUGGAAACCCGAAAAAGCCAGGCUGAAAAAACCUGGACCGCCUUGGGCUGCUUUUGCCACUGAUGAAUACCAGUGGUUACAAAUAGAUUUGAAUAAGGAAAAGAAAAUAACAGGCAUUAUAACCACUGGAUCCACCAUGGUGGAGCACAAUUACUAUGUGUCUGCCUACAGAAUCCUGUACAGUGAUGAUGGGCAGAAAUGGACUGUGUACAGAGAGCCUGGUGUGGAGCAAGAUAAGAUAUUUCAAGGAAACAAAGAUUAUCACCAGGAUGUGCGUAAUAACUUUUUACCACCAAUUAUUGCACGUUUUAUUAGAGUGAAUCCUACCCAAUGGCAGCAGAAAAUUGCCAUGAAAAUGGAGCUGCUCGGAUGUCAGUUUAUUCCUAAAGG
Molecule: small RNA, 418 nt
Filed under: Pongo abelii (Sumatran orangutan)
Lineage: Eukaryota; Metazoa; Chordata; Mammalia; Primates; Hominidae
Description: retained intron
Source: RNAcentral